Molecule: ribosomal RNA, 774 nt
Filed under: uncultured Neocallimastigales
Lineage: Eukaryota; Fungi; Neocallimastigomycota; Neocallimastigomycetes; Neocallimastigales
Description: partial large subunit ribosomal RNA
Rfam family: Eukaryotic large subunit ribosomal RNA
Source: RNAcentral
UACUAGAGUAGCACUCGCAUAUCAAUAAGCGGAGGAAAAGAAACUAACAAGGAUUCCCCUAGUAACGGCGAGUGAAGCGGGAAGAGCUCAAAUUUGAAAUCUUAAAGGGUUUCCCUUUACGAAUUGUAGUUUAAAGAAGUGUUUUCUGUUGAGGCUUUGGUAAAAGUUCUUUGGAAUAGGACAUCAUAGAGGGUGAGAAUCCCGUAUUUGACCUUUACUUUCAACUUUGUGAUACACUUUCAAAGAGUCGGAUUGUUUGGGAAUGCAGUCCAAAAUGGGUGGUAAAUUUCAUCUAAAGCUAAAUAUUGGCGAGAGACCGAUAGCGAACAAGUACCGUGAGGGAAAGAUGAAAAGAACUUUGAAAAGAGAGUUAAACAGUACAUGAAAUUGUCAAAAGGGAAGCGUUUGACACCAGUGUUGUUUUUCUGAAAAUCAAUUAAAGAACUGUUUAUGCUAAGUUGUUUAGACUUUAUCAGCUAUCUGCUUAGUUUUGAGCUUUUCUUUAAUGCACUUUUCAGUUAACAAGUCAACAUCAAUUUCUUUUGCUGUAAAAAAGCUUGAGGAAGGUGGCUUGAGAUUCGUCUUAAGUGUUUAUAGCCUCUUGCCUAUGCAGUCGGAGAGAUUGAGGUCUGCAGCGUAGAUCCUUCGGGGCUAAAUGCAUUUGUGCUAAGUUAUAGCAUUUUAUAGACAACUUGUUGACUAUGAUUUGUCUUGUAGCUUACUCGCUUAUGUUAUUUUACCUACGCUUAGGAUGUUGAACUCUAUCACACACAG